RNAcentral lists this ribosomal RNA (781 nucleotides) under Microbacterium sp. BR-34. RNAcentral's name for it is "bacterial SSU rRNA". It matches the Rfam family "Bacterial small subunit ribosomal RNA", at positions 56 to 848 of the family's 1533-position model. The record is from RNAcentral. Lineage: Bacteria; Bacillati; Actinomycetota; Actinomycetes; Micrococcales; Microbacteriaceae.
UGCAAGUCGAACGGUGAAGCAGAGCUUGCUCUGUGGAUCAGUGGCGAACGGGUGAGUAACACGUGAGCAAUCUGCCCCUGACUCUGGGAUAAGCGCUGGAAACGGCGUCUAAUACCGGAUACGAGCUGCGAAGGCAUCUUCAGCAGUUGGAAAGAAUUUCGGUCAGGGAUGAGCUCGCGGCCUAUCAGCUUGUUGGUGAGGUAAUGGCUCACCAAGGCGUCGACGGGUAGCCGGCCUGAGAGGGUGACCGGCCACACUGGGACUGAGACACGGCCCAGACUCCUACGGGAGGCAGCAGUGGGGAAUAUUGCACAAUGGGCGCAAGCCUGAUGCAGCAACGCCGCGUGAGGGAUGACGGCCUUCGGGUUGUAAACCUCUUUUAGCAAGGAAGAAGCGAAAGUGACGGUACUUGCAGAAAAAGCGCCGGCUAACUACGUGCCAGCAGCCGCGGUAAUACGUAGGGCGCAAGCGUUAUCCGGAAUUAUUGGGCGUAAAGAGCUCGUAGGCGGUUUGUCGCGUCUGCUGUGAAAACUGGAGGCUCAACCUCCAGCCUGCAGUGGGUACGGGCAGACUAGAGUGCGGUAGGGGAGAUUGGAAUUCCUGGUGUAGCGGUGGAAUGCGCAGAUAUCAGGAGGAACACCGAUGGCGAAGGCAGAUCUCUGGGCCGUAACUGACGCUGAGGAGCGAAAGGGUGGGGAGCAAACAGGCUUAGAUACCCUGGUAGUCCACCCCGUAAACGUUGGGAACUAGUUGUGGGGUCCAUUCCACGGAUUCCGUGACG